CUCCCUGUGGCUCAGUUGGUAGAGCAUGGUGUGUGCAACGCCAGGGUUGUGGGUUUGAUUCCCACGGGGGGC
Molecule: transfer RNA, 72 nt
Filed under: Salmo salar (Atlantic salmon)
Lineage: Eukaryota; Metazoa; Chordata; Actinopteri; Salmoniformes; Salmonidae
Also listed under: 1 other name
Rfam family: tRNA
About the family: Transfer RNA (tRNA) molecules are approximately 80 nucleotides in length. Their secondary structure includes four short double-helical elements and three loops (D, anti-codon, and T loops). Further hydrogen bonds mediate the characteristic L-shaped molecular structure. tRNAs have two regions of fundamental functional importance: the anti-codon, which is responsible for specific mRNA codon recognition, and the 3' end, to which the tRNAs corresponding amino acid is attached (by aminoacyl-tRNA synthetases). tRNAs cope with the degeneracy of the genetic code in two manners: having more than one tRNA (with a specific anti-codon) for a particular amino acid; and 'wobble' base-pairing, i.e. permitting non-standard base-pairing at the 3rd anti-codon position.
Source: Rfam by way of RNAcentral